Long non-coding RNA from Lynx canadensis (Canada lynx), 4968 nucleotides. RefSeq lists it as uncharacterized. The record is from RefSeq and is a predicted model, not a curated record. The transcript is spliced from 7 exons. NCBI's taxonomy places the organism in Eukaryota, Metazoa, Chordata, Mammalia, Carnivora, Felidae.
AGUAUUCGUGGGUCCGUCUGCAGUCAGCCGGGCAAAGGGCUCGGCGGACUCUGGAAAUAGGGAAACGCGAACCGUGGACGUGCUCAUGACGAGGGGGGAGUGAGCUUACGAAGGCCACGUGCAGGCUGCCCAGAGCUUGCCCAGACUCACAAAAGGGGUUCCCUGAAUUGCGACUUCCUUUCUCUCUGCGUGGUGUGCUUAGUUCCAAGAUCCUUGUCAUGUUGGCUGAAUCAACAUCCCCAGAGGAUUAAGGCAACCGAAGGGUAUUUGAGUUUAUUUAUAUGGCUGCUAAGGAGAAUGAAUAAUUGUGCUUACAUCCAAAGUGUGCAUCCCCAGUGAGAAAUUCUGCAUUUCGGGAUCAGAGAUAAGUGUCCUGUUCCAAGACGUCAUAACCUGGAAGAAACAUGUCUUGGAUUUGAUUAAGGAGAGAAGUGAGGAGACUGAUCUCCUGUGUAGUGAUGAGACAUGGAGGCUGCUGGUGCAGGGUAGGUGGCUCAGAAGAAGGCAGAGUCCCCCUCGAAUAGAACAUUUUAAGGCUAAAUCUAGAUUCCUCACCCACAAGAGGGCAUGGUCUGAUCAAGGGUGAGGCUACCAUGUGCCAUCCUGGGGUUGGGGAGAGGUGGGGUGAAGAGACACAAUCACUGACCCCAGUGCGAUCUCAUGACUAUUCCUGGAUGUGCACUGGGUAGGGGACAGGCUGGGGCAGACCAUCCACUGAGCAUCUGCCCAGCCCUGACAGGAGGGCUGGGUUGGGACAUUGGCUUUGCCCUGCGUGUGACCUCCACAGAUCACCUGCCAGGGCAUGGGCCUGUGUGACACCUGUGUGACAGAGAUGUCAUUGUUAGGGCAGCACCUUGUUUCCUCACCAAAGUGGUGAUGCCAUCCUUCACUGUUUAUUUGCGUCAUGCUAUCUUUACAGCAAUAGUUGGUACCACGAUAAUCUUGUGCUCUACCAUCACCAGUUGAAAUAAGCAUAAAUGUGAUGCUUUCAUUGACAUUGUAAUUACCUUACCUAUAUAAUUGCUAUUAGUUCUUUUUUUAUUACUAUUAGUUCUCCUGCAAACAUGAAGAUGCUCCUAUAAACAGGUUUAGAUAAGCCACACUCUACAUGUUUUUGAGAGAUGUGAAUGAAAUGUAACCUUUUUUAUAAUGUAAUGUCAACAACUGCUGCCAUUUUGUUCCUCACAUAUAAGAAUCAUAGUAAUUAGCAUAAGUACAUGAACAAAAAUAACACUAGAGCCACAUGCAUUAUGUGCUGGGCACUGCUCCAUGCCCUCUAUAUGUUUUAAUAAUUUAAUAAUUAUGUAAUUGCUCAUAACCAUCUUGGAAGUCAAAAUUAUUCCUGUUUUAAAUAGAAAGCUGCGAGGGACGGAAGUGAUAAAUGUUCUGCCCUGUGGAUUCACAAUCAGGACGAACAUUUCCUGGAUUCGAUCCUAGGGUAGUCUGAGGUCUGGCUCCUUUCUCUUUGACAAUGUUCCUCAUAGAAACUUGUUACAAGCCUCUAGUGUCUGAGUUUCAUCCUUACUGUACUGAUGUCAUGGCGGUGGUGGUGUUGGCAAGGUCAGCUGACGAUACGCACUUCCACGAACACACACAGGUCAGUGAGUCUGUGUGGGGGCACCAAUGAGGCGGGAUUCCCCAGCAGAGCCAUCCUCGUGUGGGAUAGUUGACUCAUGCCAAUUGCUUUGUCCUUCACGAAUCCCUAUGGUUGCUUCCCAUCCGUGUGUCUGGUAACACGGAAUCCCUCACAUCAGUUGUCCUGCCUUCUGAGCUGCCCCCAGAACACUGGGCUUGUGGAUUCAUUACCCUUGGGUGUUCUGAGCCUCUGGGAUGGAUCCCUGUGAACCAUGGAAUGUCCUUUCAUGGAGGUAUCUGGAUACACUCUGUAGGCUCUCAUGUUGUAUCAUGCUUUCCCUCAAAGUUGCCUGCAUAGCAGAGAACUGAACUUUAAUAUUUGUCAUAUGGGGUUCUGGGGGGGGAGGUCCUUUUCUGAGCAAAACCAAAGCUUCCUAAAGGUAGGAUUAAACUAUCUCAUGAGCAGUCCCCAGGGCUGCACCUGCAGCGAAUGUCACUGUUGCGAGCUCCUUCACCUUGUUUCCUGGCCUCUCACUCCUUUCUGAUCCUAUCACUAUUCUCUGUACCUCUGUCCUCCACUCCUUCUCUCCUUGUUCCAUUCUACCUCACUACCCCAUCUCUCUCCUCCGUGGCUUCACCACAGCCCCAUUUCUUUUUCUCACAUGCCCCCAUUCACUUCUCUUGUCUAAUCGGAGUGGACUCCAGUAACGGAGAGCAGAGGGGACCUGACACUGCUGGACAUUGAACUCUGUAGACAGAUUGUAAAACUAAUGUGAGUUGCUGCUUUCCUGAAUUCCUGUCCUGUCCCAUGGGGCAUAUUUGCCCGAAAACAUUGAGUUCAUUCACUUGACCUUGACCAGCUCCGGCCUGCCCUUCCUACUUGGUCACUGUGACUAGAAUCACAUAAACGAGAGCCUCCUGCAUUUCACUCACCUCACCCAACUGAUGAGCCGUCUUACUCCGUAGGCUCAACAAACCGCCCAGGCCAUCCAGGCUCCCCAACGCUGUAAGAUUCCCAGGCACACCAGUCAUGCCAAACACUCCAUUCUUUCUUCCCGUCAGUUCCCUCCAAACCCUCAAAACUCACCAAGUGCAUGAUUUUGGAUCAGUGCUUGGGCACUUGUUUUUUUCUGCUUCUUGACUUGCGUCUUAGUGAAACAGGUGUGUACAUUUUGUUACAACUCACAAAGCUGUAUGCACACAGUGUUCAUGCAUUUUGUCGUUAAGUUUAUGCAUUAACAUAAUAUAAUAAGUAAAAAGUUGACAAACCUCCUCUGUGUUUCUUCAUUCCAUUUGAUUUCACCACUUUGUGUUCUCUUUCAUCUGCAAGUCACACUCUUGACCCUGGUUUUUCUCCAUGUCGAGUACAGCCUGUGUCUUUACACCACCGAAAGUAUAAAACCUGGAGGUAGACAAGUGUCAGGUCCAGAGUGCUCUAGGUUAAGAAAAGUUCUUAUAUCUCGUGAAUCUCCCUUAAAGUCUGUGGAAGGCAUGAGUCAUCUGGGGUAGAGAGACAGGGAGAACACAGCCUGUCUGGAGGGUUGAGUGAUAGGUCUGGCCCCUGAUCCCCACAAGGUCUUGGUCAAACACAGGAGAUGGACUGGAGAUGUGAGUUUAGUUUAAGGAGUAGGUCCAUGCUUCAUGGAUGCCACUGGCAGCUUGACCCUUUUUCUCUGAUGAGCUUGUAAGCCUGGCUCCCGGUCCAAGGCAGGAACAGGGCAAUAGUUCACGGGGUAGUGGACAGGCUUGUGGAAAGGGCAUGAUGCACAGGGAAAGCUUCCUAUGUUGUCCGUGACAUCCCCCUGUCUAGAAUUUUAUUUUCCCCUGAAGAUUAAUGGCCCAGUAUCCCUCUUCCUGGUCUCCUGUUUUCAGGGGGCUUUUGGGGAACUACACUGCUUGAGGCAGGAAGCACCUAUUGUGGGUGCUCAGGAGUUAUGGCAGACUAGAUGAACUGGUCCAGGCCCAGACAAUCAAACUUACCUCCUCUAAAAUCCCCUGGGGACUUUGAGAGGACAAAGGGUGCACCUAAUCAAAUAGAUUUGUUUCUGAUAUGCAUAAUCUCCUACUGUGUGCAGAGGAGGUCAUGGGGAAUGGUUAUAGCCUGGGGUCACAAUCCAAGUGAAGGACCCUGGAGGGCAACAGGGGCAUUGGUGCCUGGCCUUCCUAUGUCCUCUGGCCAAAUGCCUGUUCAUCUCUGGGUCUUCCCAGGACUGAGGAAAAGCUGAAGAUUUGGCUACAGAUUAAUGUGUAUCCAGCAUUUAUGAAGGAUCUCCAAUGCUCAAGGACACAUAAGACUUUUUGGAGGGUCCACAAACUGUAGUACAGACCAGAUGAACUGGUUGAGGUCUUGAAGCCAUGGGUAAGAGGAAGCCAGAUUCUCUGUUCAUUCCCUGAGGAAGCAUGGACUGGCUUUGGUAAUGUCUUGGGCAUGGCCAAUCUUGUAGUUUGGGAUGAGAGCCAUAAGCAUUGACCACUGACUUGUGUGUGACCUUCCAGUGAGGGCCUGACAGGUCUUGAACAUUCUUAGGAUGGGGGUGAGGCCAUUAAUGUUGCAUACGAUUGGCUCAGUCUAGGACCUGGGAGUUAUGCUGCGUCCCUAUAAUGAUUCUUCUAGGGUUGUAUUUACUUUUCUGAGAACCAGGAAAGGUUCUUUACUUUUUAAGAUUCAUACAACUAAGUUGGGCACACCCAGAUAAUCCAGAGCACUCUCCCCAACUCAGUGUCCUUACAUUUAACCAAAUCAGCAAAAUUCCUUUUGCUAUGUAAGGUACCACAUUCACAAGUUCUUCACAAGUACAUCUUUGGGGGAGCCAUUAUUCUGCCUACCUUCUAUGAAUUGAAUCAUGCCCUCCAUAAUUCAUAUGUUGAAGCCCUAACCCCUAAUGUGAUGCUAUUUGGAUAUAGGGCCAUUGGGCCAUUAGAAGGUUGUGAGAGGGGGUCCUCAUGAUGGGAUUAAUGGCCUUAUGAGAAGAGACCUGAGAAGUUACUUUCUUUUUCUUUCUACCACCUGAGGAUAUGGCAAGAAGGGAGUGGUCUGCACACCAGGAAGUGGAUUCUCACCAGAUACCAAGGCUGUGGCCACUUUGAUUUUGGACUUCCCAGCCUGCAGAACUGUGAGAAAUAAACUGGGUCUGUUGUUUAAGUGCCCCAGUCUAUGAUAUUUUAUUAUAGCAGCUUGAAUUGACCCAAACACUCCCAUAGUCUUCAAUCCCAUGCCACACUCCUAUCUUUUUACAGGUGAUCAAGGCUACUGAAGGGGUAUUUGAGUUCAUUUAUCUGACUUCUAAGGACAACAGUGUUUACAUUCAGAAGUGGACACCUCGGAAGAAAUUCUUCAUCUAGGAUGAUCAAGUCUCCUGAGGAGAAAUUUCAAUAUACCUACACAUCUGAUGA